Molecule: long non-coding RNA, 1911 nt
Organism: Oxyura jamaicensis (ruddy duck)
Lineage: Eukaryota; Metazoa; Chordata; Aves; Anseriformes; Anatidae
Exons: 4
Source: RefSeq, a predicted model, not a curated record
ACCUCCUAGAUGCACUUGUGCCAAUUCCCACACAAGCUUUCUGGAUCUGGCAUCUUUUCAAGACUAUCAUCUGCAUUCCUCAGUGGCAGCCUAAUUCCUGCAGGUCAAGCUCCAUUCUCCCUUGACUGUAAUUUGAUGCUCUGCCUUGUCACCUGAUAUGACAAUGCUGGGCUUUGUUUCCAUUAUGGUUUCCAAAAGACUCCCCCACUUACAGACAGUUUUGUUUCCUAUUCUCCGAGGUUAAAACUCCAGUGUAAUGAAUUAUAAGCAGACCAAGGAUGACCCGAUUUCUCAAACGUAUGACCAGGGCACAAGAUUCAGACAGCUGUGAGAGUCCAUGGAUGCCCAGAUCGAAAGCCUACUGCUCCAGCGAAUUUCAGAUAAUGAGACAAUAUGGCACUGCUCACAAGAAGGGACAGCUUUUCCGAGGAAGAAAUCACAUAAUGUAACAUUUGGCAAGUCAGUUAGAUAAUGACCAAGAAAAAAAUAACGGUGUUGGAUGUCUGAUCAAAAUACAGAAAUAUUCUAAAAAGCUUGCCUAGAAGCUUGCACCAGUGGGAAUUUUGCUGCUGUUGCGUGGAGGCUUUGCAGCCAUGGAGACAUCUCAAGUGCCCUUUGGCUUUGGUUCUAUCCAGGACAGGGGAAGAAGCGUCUGAAAUAGCAGAAUAGGCAACACUCGGUCCUACAAGGGCCAGUGCAGUGCUGUGACAAGCUGAGUGUAUGGAGUGUACCUAAUGGAGUUACCGGGUGAAAUGCUGUAUCCAUGGUAUCUACGGAGGUGACUCAUGUCACCGCUACAAAUUCUAACUUGCUUGCAGAAAAUAUAUCCUAGUAAAAUCUGCAUUUGUACUGCACUUGCACAACAGCCUUGUGCUUAGAUUCCAGUUCUUCCAACUGCUAACAGUGCACACGGCUCAGAGGAGGACGAGGCCCAGGUGUAAAACAGCUGCGGCCCAACAAAAGCUGUGCUGGGUGUGUUCUGCCUCUCCUGUUCUCCACUGGAAGCACUUGGGGCUGAGCACCAGGCACCGUACCCCCGGCAGCACACAGCCCUCCCUGGGCUGGGCAUUAUCAGGCAUUGCUGUCUGUGCAUCAGAUCAGCGCGGGAGCCUCUCUGUGUACGUCUUCAAGAGCUUAAUGCAGUAACUGCAAUUCAAAGCAUUUGCUCCACAUAGAACUGAGUAACUGAAUCCUCUCUGACAUCGUUAAUGCUUUCAGCUGUUAGGAAUAUAGUGAUGCCACCUGGAAAGAAACGUAGCUGCAAAUGGGAUAGCCAUUAAAUAGCUGCAUGCCAGCUUAUGUGGAUCUUUCCUGGGAAGCAAGAAUGUUGCAGCAGAGAAGCUGGAAGUUCCUAGAAGAAACAACAGCCAUUGUAAGAUAAGUCAGCCCAGGAGGGAACCGUCAUAAGCCAUUUAAGGGGAAAUACAGGAGGACAUCUUUAUUUCCUUGCAUGCACACUCUCAGAUGGCUGGAGAUGUGAGUAAUUCAACCACUCUUCUAAAAGAAUGUAUGGGCAGCAGGACUUCUGCAGGGGGCUGUUGACUACAGCUGAAGGGGGAGGUAGGAGGACUCGUGGUGCCCAGCAUCUGCUCCUUGCACUCAGCACAAUUCCUGGUGUGCUGCUGCUCCAUCCUGCGUCACAGCAAGCGGCAGCCCUGGAUGCUGCUGAGGCAGAGCCAACAAAUGAUUAUGGGAAAAUACCUCCUCUUCUUUUGAUAAACACUGAAGCAUAUGACAAGCACAGAUUUUGGAUGCUCACUGAGUAUCAGUAAAGCUGAUUCUAUGCUUGGAAAUACAUUUUAAAAAUACAAGUUACUAAUACUCUUUUUUCCAAGCCCUUUUAAACUGUAAUCUUUAGCGAUCUAAUCAGAAUUGCUCUGUCAAAUGAAGUAUGGUGAUACAUGCACAGGA